CUGGGAUUAGAUACCCCACUAUGCUUAGCCCUAAACCUUAAAGAUUUAAUAACAAAAUCAUUUGCCUGAGAACUACUGGCCAUCGCUUAAAACUCAAAGGACUUGGCGGUACUUUAUAUCCGUCUAGAGGAGCCUGUUCUAUAAUCGAUAAACCCCGUUAUACCUCACCACCCCUUGCUAAUUCAGCCUAUAUACCGCCAUCUUCAGCAAACCUUAAAAAGGAGUAAAAGUAAGCAAGAGAAUCACCAUAAAAACGUUAGGUCAAGGUGUAGCUUAUGAGGUGGGAAGCAAUGGGCUACAUUUUCUUAAAAAAGAACAUUACGAUACCCUUAUUGAAACAUAAGGACAAAGGAGGAUUUAGUAGUAAAUUAAGAAUAGAGAGC
This 383-nucleotide ribosomal RNA is filed under the name Peromyscus maniculatus gracilis. Its description in RNAcentral is "partial 12S ribosomal RNA". It matches the Rfam family "Bacterial small subunit ribosomal RNA", at positions 772 to 1357 of the family's 1533-position model. Lineage: Eukaryota; Metazoa; Chordata; Mammalia; Rodentia; Cricetidae. The record is from RNAcentral.